GGGAGCUUGGAUGUGGAAGCUCUUUGGAAACCAAGAAACACUCUGCAAAUGAAAAGGGUGGAAGAGUAAACUGUUCCCGUUUCUCCAAAUUGACAGGAAGCAGAAGUUCUCCUUAGCUGAUUUUUCUUCUUGCCUUAUACUGGGUUCUUUAACACCAGAACAAAAAUAAAUAAAUAAAAGAAUCUUCCAGAAAUUCAUGAAGAGACUUCAGGUCAGGAAAGCCUGAACUUUCUCAUCUAACACCUGUUCAAGUCGGAGGAUGCUGAUUAAUUCAUGAUGGAAAGGUAUCAAUUUCACAGCCCAGACUUCUACAUUCUUGAAAUGCUGUUCUCAUGGGAGACAUUAAAUAAGCUUUGAAAUAACUGAAUGUACAGGGUGUACCAUGAACAAUUCUGACAUAUGAUUUAAUCUAUGUGUGACUACAUUUUAAAUACAUCUGGGAAGGAUUGAACAAUGAAGUGGAGCCCAUCAAUAUUGGUACUGAAAACGAGACAUGCCAUGACACCCAGGAUGCAGCUGUAGGAACACCACUGGGUCCCUGGAUAUCAUGUAAGCCCUUAAGUAAAGGUGCCAUCAAAUGAUUUCUCAGAAAUUAUAAAGAAACAAAAGGACCAUAAACAAGAUAAGGUGGCACGAGGAAACACUAAAAGUACCUUUCAGAGCUGACUGGCAAAGAAACUCCUGAGGUGAUGGUUCUACCCCAAUAUUACUUCUUCCAAGAGCAACCUAACUGGACUUAUCUUCCUCAGUUCCCUGUGGGGAACUUUUGUAGAGCCACACGAAAGGAGGUUUUUAGCUCUCACCUAUGGUCUUCAUCAUGCACCUCCUAGAUUCAAAAGUUCAGCAGGGGCAUGUCAAGCUAUA
Molecule: non-coding RNA, 864 nt
Filed under: Pongo abelii (Sumatran orangutan)
Lineage: Eukaryota; Metazoa; Chordata; Mammalia; Primates; Hominidae
Source: RNAcentral